GGCGAACGGCUGAGUAACACGUGGGCAACCUGCCCUUUGCACUGGGAUAGCCUCGGGAAACCGAGGUUAAUACCGGAUACUCCAUAUUUGUCGCAUGGCGAAUAUGGGAAAGCUCCGGCGGCAAAGGAUGGGCCCGCGGCCUGUUAGCUAGUUGGUGGGGUAGUGGCCUACCAAGGCAAUGAUGGGUAGCCGGGUUGAGAGACCGACCGGCCAGAUUGGGACUGAGACACGGCCCAGACUCCUACGGGAGGCAGCAGAA
RNAcentral lists this ribosomal RNA (259 nucleotides) under uncultured Atopobium sp. RNAcentral describes it as "partial 16S ribosomal RNA". It matches the Rfam family "Bacterial small subunit ribosomal RNA", at positions 97 to 354 of the family's 1533-position model. The record is from RNAcentral. Lineage: Bacteria; Bacillati; Actinomycetota; Coriobacteriia; Coriobacteriales; Atopobiaceae.